Molecule: ribosomal RNA, 252 nt
Filed under: uncultured bacterium
Lineage: Bacteria
Description: partial 16S ribosomal RNA
Rfam family: Bacterial small subunit ribosomal RNA
Source: RNAcentral
UACGUAGGGUGCAAGCGUUAUCCGGAAUUAUUGGGCGUAAAGAGCUCGUAGGCGGUUUGUCGCGUCUGCUGUGAAAACUGGAGGCUCAACCUCCAGCCUGCAGUGGGUACGGGCAAACUAGAGUGCGGUAGGGGAGAUUGGAAUUCCUGGUGUAGCGGUGGAAUGCGCAGAUAUCAGGAGGAACACCGAUGGCGAAGGCAGAUCUCUGGGCCGAUACUGACGUGAGGAGCGAAAGCAUGGGUAGCGAACAGG